GCUGGCGGCAGGCCUAACACAUGCAAGUCGAGCGGUAACAUUUCUAGCUUGCUAGAAGAUGACGAGCGGCGGACGGGUGAGUAACGCGUAGAAAUCUACCUAGUAGUGGGGGAUAGCCCAGAGAAAUUUGGAUUAAUACCGCAUACGCCCUACGGGGGAAAGCGGGGGAUCUUCGGACCUCGUGCUAUUAGAUGAGUCUGCGUCGGAUUAGCUUGUUGGUGAGGUAAUGGCUCACCAAGGCGACGAUCCGUAGCUGGUCUGAGAGGAUGACCAGCCACACUGGAACUGAGACACGGUCCAGACUCCUACGGGAGGCAGCAGUGGGGAAUAUUGCACAAUGGGCGCAAGCCUGAUGCAGCCAUGCCGCGUGUGAAGAAGGCCUUAGGGUUGUAAAGCACUUUCAGCAGUGAGGAAAGGGGUGUCGUUAAUAGCGCCAUCCUGUGACGUUAACUGCAGAAGAAGGACCGGCUAACUCCGUG
RNAcentral lists this ribosomal RNA (479 nucleotides) under uncultured bacterium. RNAcentral describes it as "bacterial SSU rRNA". It matches the Rfam family "Bacterial small subunit ribosomal RNA", at positions 35 to 507 of the family's 1533-position model. The record is from RNAcentral.